AGACAUGUCGGGGGUCCGGGUGGUGUCGCGGCUCCUGGGCGCCCGGCGCCUGGCACUGACUAGGGCGGUGAGUCGGCGCCGUGGGGCGGGCAGGGCGCGGGGAGCCGAGGAGGGGCAGGACUUCCCACGGGGCGGAGCGGACGCCGAGUCCCCCCGGCGCCGGACCGGGACGGGGUCGCGAGGGUCUGGGGGAGGAUGCGGUGAGGAGGCCGCCCGAAGGGGUGGGGCCGACCCGGAGGGCCGCGGGACUCCUUCUGAAGCCAGCGAGUCGCGUCCCGGUGAAGGUCAUGACCCCGCUUGCCGUCCCCGGGGACCCUUCCCCAGAGUACUAAGGUCGCCCCCGCCCCAGCCUUCGGCGCGUGGGGAGGCGUGUUUGCCCGAGGUCACCCUGACAGGUGGCGGCCCGUGGGUGCCCCGGGCCUCUGAAUCCAAAAGCGCCCUUAGAUCUCCGGCGGAGGCGGGCCGGCAACCGCAGGCGCGCGCCGGCCGGGCGCUGUGCCGAUCGCCCUGGGGACGGUCCGUCGGGUGCCAGCAGCCCCGAGGACCCGGCCGGGCUCGGCCCUCCCGCCCCAGGCAGGGUAGGUGGGAGGCACGUCUGACACCGGCGCUGGCGCUUGCCUGGCAACUGUUUGCAAAACCGCGCUUCUUCGGGGAAAGCGAAGACCCGUGUUUCACACCGGGAUCUGGCAACUUUUGGACCUUCAUUUUGGGUUUUGUAUGGUGGCCUUUUGCGCACAUUAGAAAACCAGGCGAAGAACGUCAGCGCUCUGACCGCAGACCACGUUCGGGCGACGGCGCCGGGAAGUCUGAUUUCCCGUGCGUUGUCUGCCCGGACUCCGGUCAGUCGUGGAUGACCGUCAGGGUUGUGCCUUCUGGAGCCCUUGCUUACCGGAUUGUGUCAGAUGUACUCCUUACAGUUACGUCUUCAGGAUCUACCUUUUCAGGUUUUAUUUCAGCACACUAAACUUGGAGGGGUUGUUGUUUGGGUUCUUUUAUAUGAUCCGCCUGCCCACCUACUUAGUAAUGUAAUUACAGAGUGAAAAUCCCAGUGGGAACCGAGGCAUUCAACAGUAUUGACAGGAGUUAUGCCUGUAGUUAUACCUGCAAUUUUCUCCAUUUUGAAAUACAGAUACUAAAAAUUAAGUUAAAUGUGAGAAGGUUAACUCCGCCAUCCUGCCAAUGCCAGAGAACGUUUUCAAUGCUUUCUCGUGCUGCUGUGGUUGAUGCUUCCUGAGCAGAGGUCCCCACUCUCCACACCCCACCCAUCUUGGGCUCUAAGUCCACAAGCUGGAUGGGCAGUGGGAUAUUCUUCGGCAAACGUGAGCAGACUUCUUAGUGCCUCCUGCUUGUUAAGUGCAGUGACCAGUAACUGGUGGUGCUGGGAGAAGAGCUAAACAUGUGUGUCCUCGGUCACCCCAGCGUUCUUGUGCAGACUAAGACCCCUCCAGUCUGUGGAACUCCCUUGACCACCUGCCUGCCCUUUGUUUAUGACCUUGUUGUCCUUUAUGUAAACUGGACUAGAAUUCUAGCUCUGAGCUCUGAGCUGCAAGUGAGAAUAAGAUUCUGAGCACCACUGGUCAGAGUGUGUAAACCUGUACUUUUGUAUUGGCUUGAUUGGAAGUUAUCUUGGUUGAAUCAACUAUUAGCUGCCAGCAUUUACCCUUCUUUUUACCUUGAUGAAGAUAGCUUUUCCUGUGGAAAUUAAUUCUGCCCCCAAGCAGUAUAUGUAGUGGAAUUUAAGAUUGGCAAAAACAAAAGCAUCAACUUAGAACAACAACAACGAAAUGUAUGAUCACCAACUGAGAAAUGUGCACGGAGAGUAGAUGAUGAGGGUAGUUUGAAUAAAAUCCACAGAGAAUUUUUCUUGAUUUCAUUUUGUUCAAUUCUCUGGUGUUUCCAAGGCAGUUUAUAUUUACAGCUGCUUUCAAGUUGCAAAAUCAUCAAACCUAUUUUGCGUUGGUUUCAUUUUUAGUUAUCUUAAUGCACUGACAUAAUUUGCAGACUGUUCUGGUGUAUUGAAAGGAAAAGUAAAAGCAAGGUCCUUAAAUAGUUGCUGGUUAAUUGCUUCAGAUGAGAUUUUUCAAAUUCUUUAACAUGGAUAUCCAAAGUACUGUUCUAGAGUAAGUCAGUUUUUCUUUGAAUGUAUUGUUUUGAAUUUGGCUUAAUGAUGUAUCUAGAAUUACAUUAUUUAGGCCAUUGUGGUAACCUUUUUUGUUUUCCUUUUUGGGGUAAUUGUACCGCUGUGGCAUUCAUUUCUGCAUUCUGUGGGAUGUUUUUCCUGGUUCACUGGAAAAAUUGUGGCUUGGUUUUGAUACGUAAUCUGGAUAUGCAUCUUAUUUUGGAGUCCCAGAGAUUUUUCCUAAGGCUCCUUACCUAGGGGGGAUGUACUGAAUCUGGUACCAGCCAGGCAGACCAGAGUUCAGACCCUGGAUAGACUCCAUUUCUCUUUCAUGAGGGUUCUGGGAGGUAGCCUGUGACGCCCUGGUGUGGUGAUCAUUCUAGCCAGGACCUACACCUACAGCCUGUGCUCGAUAAUCUUGUGAAUUGUAUUCUAAGCAUCCCUGUUUUAAAAACCUUUAAACUUCUAAUGAAAAUAAUUACACAUAGUUAUAAAAAAAAAAGUCAAGGAAUACAGAGGCUUUAUAAAUGAAAAGGAUUGAGACCCUCUCCUAACCUCAGACCUGUUCCCCAGUGAAAUCACUUCUGAAUUGUUUCUGUUAUUGGCCGCUGGUGUUUACCUCCAUGUCUCUAGCUAAUGUGCAGGCUUACGUUCAUCCAUUUUGGACUUUGACUUGUGGCUCUGAAUGAGGACUCAGUUCGCUUAAACCAUCUUCCCCCAUCCUCAGUUCUUCCCAUGGCCUUCCAAGGCACUUUCAGAGCCUUUAUGGGCUGCUUUUCUUAUUAUACAGAUUGUACUUACAAAUAGUUUCUUGUCUGCAAUUCAUAGGUGAACGCUAUCAGAUGGGGACCUGUACUUCGCUAGAUUAAGGGUUUCAAUAUCUCUGCCCUUCUCUUCAGUUUUCUCCCUUUUACCAUUUAAGUCAUUCACUUGUGCUUUCAUGUCAUUAAAAGCUCUGUUUCUUUUAAUUCUGCCUCCAAGGCAGAUUUCCUCACGCUUCUUUACGUUUCCCUGUUGGAAAAUGUUUGAUAGUUUUACUUCAAAAAAUGUUAAAUAGUUUUAUUUAUAGACAAAUUGGGUUAAUUUUGGGCUCUCCAGAUUCUAAAAUUGCUCCUCAAAUCCGAUUUGGAUAAAAAGCUAGUAUUCUAUUUUCCACAGGGAGAUAGUAUGAUAAUUUGUUAGAGAUUUCAUUUUAACAGCUGCCAGUGUUUGAGAUGGCCGUGUGUGUCUAUCUUUAUUUAACGUGAACAUCCUAGAAAGAAGAAAUAAAUACUUAGGGAAUCUCACUGUUACUAUUUUACUUUUUUACAGUUCAACUUAAGCAGGUAAGUUUAAUGAUCAGAACAAAAAUGGGAUCGCUUAGGAAAAACUAUAUAAAAGACGCUUUACAGUAUAAUAUGUCCUUUUCAUGUUGAUUAUUUUUAUAGGAUUUAAUAUGUGAUUAUUCUUCAGUUUUCUGAAUUAAAAUUGUUCAGGUGGCCAUAAAAUCUGGAAACAUAGACAAAUAUACAUAAUAAAUAGUUUACUCAUAUUCCAACAAAUGUUCAAUGAAUGUGCUGUUCCUCAUUAGCAUUUCAUACUUUAACAAGUUAUGCAAAACUGCAUGUGCACCAAAGCACUAUUUCCAUCAAUCCUCGUACAUCCACCUACAACGAAUCGCUUGUGGGGAUUUGUGUGUCUCACUUUCCCUGAAUAAACGUGUGCCUUUAGCACACCCAAGGUGUAAUUAAGGAAGAAGUGUCUGUCAUCUGUGUUUCUGGAUUGUGUGGUCCUGUUUUUGGUUUUGUUUUUUUUUUUAAGUUUCACCUACUAUAAGUCUUAAAAACAUUUUUGACCAUUCGUAUUAUACCAAGAAAAAAGAUGAAUACUAAAUACAAGCUAAUGGAAAAACAAAAAUUCAUUUGUUUUACCUUUCUAUUCCACAUCACAACAUUUUACUGAAAAUGAAGGGAUUUUUCAUCUAUAGAUAAAAGACUCUAAAUGGUACUUAGGUUGUUUUACAAGUUUGAUUUUAAAAUCGUUUAGAAUUCACAAUGGGUCUUACACACAAUGAUUUCAAUAAAUCAGGCACUCCAGAGCACAAUUGGAGGUGUAACAAUUAUGUGAUGACUUCUUAACAGUCCAAGGAGAUAAAGACCUUUUUUUCAAAUAUGGAAAGAAAUUAAUCUUUCUGCAGUAUUAACCCCUAAAAGCUAUCUUCCUUUAUAGACUACAAUAUUAUUGUCAAUUUAAUAUACUUUUAUUUUUUUUAAUCUUAUUUUUAAUGUUUGUUUUACUUUUGAGAGACACAUCCAGUGCGAACGGGGGAGGGACAGAGAGAGAGGGAGGCGCAGAAUCCUAAGCAGGCUCCAGGCUCUGAGCUGUCAGCACAGAGCCUGAUGCAGGGCUUGAACCCAUGAACCGUGAUAUCAUGACCUGAGCCGAAGUCAGAUGCUUAUCUGACUGAGCCACCCAGGCACCCCCAUAUACUUUUAAAAAGAACUCCCAGAGGAAGAAAUUUCUGGAGGUUUUCCCAAAUAUAUACAGCUACUUUUUCUGUCAUGCUUACAACAUCUGCAAAGUACGGAAUGUUCAAAUGCAGAUUCUUAUGAUCAAGGGGCUCCAUAAUUGCCUCCUCCAUAUACUCUUUGAGGUCAGUCACUUUCAUAACUAUUCCUGUAAUAGGAUCAAUCUCUCCAUGUACUGUCACCACAACUUUAUAAUUGUGCACGUGGCCAUUUGGAUUGUUGGCAUUCCCAAACAAUUUCAAGUUUUCUUCAUUACUCAGAGAUGUGCUGUGGAGCCAGUAGGUCGCUCUGAGGGAGAUGAGGUGGGACAGUUGCGUGGUGUUCUUGGCUUGCCUUCCCACUUGGUUGGUGGUGGGGCUGGGACAGGCUCUCUGUUUCUAUUUUGAUUUCAAUUUGGUAUUGUAAAAUGUAUUGUUCUUUUUUGGAACUAUUACCUUUAUCUUGUACUUCAUUAAAAUUUCAUGAACAUUUGUAUUUUGCUGACUUGGUUAUUUGUUAAGAUGUGAUUUUUACCAUUUAAAAAUUAUACUAAAGCAGAAGAAUAUUCUUUUUAAGUUUUUUAAUUCGUUUACUGGACAAAAAGUUGACUUAUGUCAAUAAAAACAAAAGUACUUAUGGGCGCUUGGGUGGCUUAGUCGCUUAAGCAUCUGACUUUAGCCCACAUCAUGGUCUUGUGGUCCAUGAGUUCGAGCCCUGUGUUGGGUUCUGUGCUGACAGCUAAGAGCCUGGAGUCUGCUUCAGAUUCUGUGUCUCCCUCUCUCUCUGCCCCUCCCUGGCUUGUGCUCUCUCUUUCUCAAAAAUAAAUAAACAUUAAAAAAUACAUAUAUACUUAAAGUUGAAAUUGGAGAAUUCAAGAAUAUUGCAUUUAUCAGUUCAGGUCUACUUAGAAAUUCAAGAAACUUCUUUGUAAUUGGAACUGUUAGCAUAAAGUCAACUAUUUGUGGCAGGCAUCAUUUGGUCUCAGUGCUUAAGAAAGUCUAAAAAAAUAUUUUUAAGUUAUUCUUGAGAGAGAGAGCGAGAGGUGGGGAGGGGCAGAGAGAGAGAGAGGGAGAGAGUGAGCAUCCCAAGCAGGCUCUGCACUGUCAGCACAGAGCCCAGAUGCAGGCCUAGAACUCAUGAACUGUGAGAUCGUGACCUGAGCCAAAACCAAGAGUCAGUUGCUUAACUGACUGAGCCACUCAGGUGCCCCUAAAUGCUAAAGAAAGUCUAGAGGUUGGAGCCACCUGCUCCAUUUGCAAGCGGCCAAGCCCUCCAGCCUGGCCUGAGGCCAUUAAUCUUCAAAGAAAGUCCUUCUGUUCAAAACCACUCAGAGUUCAUUUUGUAUUUUGCCAAAUUCUCCUCCCUGAAUUCUCCACUUGUUUGUCCUACAGAAUAAUUUUUUUACCCCACAGAAUAAAUAGCAUCUCUUCCAAACUGCAGAAUACUCGAAGACAUCUCUCAUAUCCCCUUUGUCAUUGUUAAACAUACUUAAUUCCUAAAACUGUUCAUGAAAUUGCUAAGACUUCAUUUUAUCAGUAGCCGUCUAAAAUGCAGUCAUAGAACAGAAAGACAUGCCUUAUAAGUUGGUUUUCAUAUAAAGAAGAUGGCCCCUCAGGCUGGGCUGUGAUUUCAUUAAUACCAAUUUUCUUGAGUAAAUGUGUUCAUAGGGUGGAACAUUUAAGCCAAAACUUGGAGAGUUGGAGAGAUUAGCCAGGGAAUGGCCAGGGACAAGUGUUCAGACAGGGAACAGCACCCUGGAGUAUGACAGAGGAGAGGGGAUGUGGCUACAGCCCAGCGCAGGUGUGGAGAGUGGUGAAGCAGGAGCAUCUCUAGGCCUGGAGUCUUCACAUUCACAGUGAAGGGUUGGUCCCGCUGGUACCCAGUGUCAGGGUGAGCAGUAGAGCCUCUUGUAGAAGAUGGAUCUCCCAAUACACUGUCCCAGGCCUUUUCCAGUGAACCACAAAACCUUGCAGACGUGUGGUGCUAUAGUGUGAAGAGGGUCAUGAUGGAUCCAGUAAAAGUGCUUCAUUGUAAACUACCACUUUCACAAAAUAGAUGGGUUUCCCAUUGUCCACUAAAAACCAUAAAUUAAGAAAUGAACGUGACAUUGUGUCCUUUUCAUUUCCUGCUGAGUCUGUGAGUGUCCUGCUUGGAGACAAGCUUCAUCUAGAAGAGCUUUUCUCGGAGUGCCAACUCCUUGCCACUUGGGCCUGCCCUGGGUCCUUAGUCCGCCUCUACCCUUCAGGGUUAAGUAGAGGACCCCAGGUGAGCUGUCUAGGUGAAGGAGCAGCUGGAUACAUAAAAAGGUUAAUGACUUGGGAAAUUUUGAUGAUUUGUUAUUCUUCUAAGACACUUAAGUGCUCUCCAUCUCUCCAUCUCUGUCUCAGCAGUGGCCCGCGACAUGGCAGGCAGGCACCUGCGGUUUUCACUUCACUAUUGAUGGGAAUAAGAGGUCUUCAGCUAAAGUUUCAGAUUCAGUAAGUUUACAACUUUUUGUUCCCUUAUAAAUGAUAUGCUUGUCUUAGAGGAAUAAUGAUCUAUGCCAGUCUUCAAUAUAUUGGAGUAAUACACAGGUCUUAUUUAAAGGAAAACAUUCUGGUUCCAAUAAUGCUCUAUUUUUAGUGUAUAGCACUUAACUGUAGUACAAAUGUAAGCAUAGUUACUAACAUUUUUUGCUUAUGGUUCUUAAGUAUCUAUAAACCAGAUUAAAAUUUAAAGCAGCAAAAUAAUAAAAUACCAGUGACCACUGAACAUUAUUCAUUGUGACAGAUGACAUAGGACCCUGAAGCCACUUGUGUGUAGGCUCUUGGUGUUUACUGGGUCUGUUCUGUCCUCUGCUGAAGGCACUAAAAUUUGUUUACAAAUUCUUUUCUCACAAGCUCACAAUAGUUACUGAAUACUAGUUGGCACCUUCUCAGUCCAACACAAACAUGGUCCUGAAACCGGGGGGUGGUCCUCAGUGCUGAGGCAGUUGCCCAGAUGAAUCGGAAUGUGCCUACCUAAUUAAAACAACAUACUGGGGCACCUGGGCGGCUCAGUCGGUUAAGCAUCCGACUUCAGCUCAGUUCAUGAUCUCGCGGUUUGGGAGUUGGAGCCCCGCAUCAGGCUCUGUGCUGACAGCUUUCGAUUCUGUGUCUCCCUCUCUCUCUCUGUCCCUCCCCUGCUUGCACUCUGUCUCUCUCUCCUUCAAGAAAUAAAUAAACAUUAAAAAAAAAAAAUUUACCUUUUCUUGAGAAACUUGCUGACCGCAGGUGGAGAAUCAUGAUCUAUAUACUGCAUUAUGAGCUUAGAUUCACACAAGCAUGUGUAUGAAUAUAUGGCUGUCAACGGAAAAAGAUGAACAGAAAGGAUAAUGGAGUAGGAAAGCCGUAUUUAGAACUAAUAUUUUGAUUUGUGUCGUUGCUUUCCUUUGCUUCCACGGUUCCCUGCUUUGAGGCUGUACCUCUUGUUUUCAACAUUUCACUUCAUGGUGGGUGUCCCAGGUGCUAGGAUGCGUGCUCCCUCUUCGUCGGGUCUGUGUUUCGGUCCUGUCGGUGUGGGGUGUGCCAGCCACACACUCUGGGUCCUGGCACAGGGUGGAGGCCCCUCUGCUGUGGUUGCUCUUUCAUCGCUUCUUCCAUUUUGUCUGAGCUCUUGCACUGCACCCACCGUCCCAAUGUGUGGCAUAGGUAAAUGGGUGGUUGACAGGUGAAUUGUUCCUUUCCAGAUUUCUACGCAAUACCCGGUAGUGGACCAUGAAUUUGACGCGGUGGUGGUAGGCGCUGGAGGGGCAGGCUUGCGAGCUGCGUUUGGCCUUUCCGAGGCAGGGUUUAACACGGCCUGCGUCACAAAGCUCUUUCCUACGAGAUCACACACCGUUGCAGCCCAGGUAAGAGAAAGGGGCCCCCUUAAUGGUUUUGGCGCCUGCACAGCAGUGCUCAGUCUUCUGCCACAGGCCUUCUCACUGCACGCCAGCCAUGUUCCUGUCUCUCUGCUCCUUGCACCCACCUGGCUUACUCGCCUUGGGAGUGUGUUCCCACACUGCCUCCACCCCCACUGCCGGAGUCACUCCUAGGGCCUCUUAUCGCUCUGCUGCUCCAGUGACACUCAGGUCUUCUCUGAGCACCCACCUAAUCCUCUGGCCCCCAUCAUAGUUUGUCUUCACUGUACUUUCCCAAUCUAAAAUGAGCCUGUCUCUGGACUGAUUCUCUUGGCCCUGCUGCAUCCUUGGCAUGGGCCUCGUUAAGUAUGAUGAUGAUGAGCUUUGCUGGUGGCAUGAAUGUGCAGGACAGAAGAACAUUGGCCUUUAAAUGCUCAAAAUUUAGGGAAGAGGAUAAAAGUAAGAUGAAAAAGUACACAGUGAUUUUAUAAUUUUGUUUUCUUUCCUGGCACACCGUAGGUGGUACGCAGGUUGUAUAUAGUAUUCCAAAACUGGAAUGAAUUGAACUGUUUUUUCCAGUAUUUGGAACAUAUUUCCUCAUAGAGAUAGCAGAGUGUGGGGUAACUUUCCAGGAACCAGUAAAAGCCACCCUAAUUACUGUUGUAGCCUGUAUUCAGCAUGCAGCAACAUUCUUCAGGCACUUUGCUACACAGAUACUUUGUUCUAAAACUAUGUGUUAUAAACUGAAAAAUAAAUAAUACAUACUUUUGAAGAUUACAUUGUGUCUAAAAGGAAAAAUGGAUGUAAACAUAAGUCUAAAUAAUGAGAAAUAAUAGUAUAUUCAGGUAGUGCAAUAUUAAAACAAUAAAAAGUUAGAAAUGGAUAGCUUACCUUGAAUGCUGGUUGGAGAAAGUAAGGUUUAAUUGGGGGGAUAAGACAGGUGGGGACUGGGCAAGUCUAAAGUGUACUCCUGGGGGGGGCGGGGCACAUGGCUGGCUCAGUCAGUAAAGCGUGCAACUCUUGAUCUCAGAGUCGUGAAUUAGAGCCCUGGGUUGGGUAUAAAGAUUGCUUUUUAUUUUUCUUUGAGUAGGCUCUGUGCCCAGCAUGAGGCCCAGCAUGGGGCUUGAACUCUCGACCCUGAGAUCAAGACCUGAGCUGAGAUCAAGUUGGACACUCAACCGACUGAGCCACUGAGGCGCCCUGAGAUUACUUUAGAAAAACAAAAUUGUAUUUCUUGGGACUCCUGGAAGACCAGCUGUCUGUGGCCCUGAUUCUUACUAGUAGUAGCAAUAAAAUAAUAGCAUGGACAUGUGCACUGGGCCAAGUAUUUAGUGUUAUUUUAAACUAGGUUUCUCUCUUCUGCUACUACUCUGGUACUUAACAGUUUUUACUAGGACUGUGUUUGGGUUUACAAUCGGUGGGGUCGGAGAAGGAGGAGGAAAUAACUUGUGACUUUUGCUGCUUGUCUUGUUAGGGUUCCUGGCUUUGUGCUGGUGACUCUUUUCUUGAUAACUGAAACAUAAUGGGAAACUGAGGCACAGCAGCACCAAGCGGGGAAAGAAUUCCUGCAUGGGUCUGCUUGACUCAGAAGCUUGAUUGAGGAACAUUUGCAAAAAAGAGGGAAGUCAGAAAAUGUGCCUUUUCUUCUCAAAAAGAGAUGAGUAAUCCGGUUUUAAGUUGCGGAGGAAAAGUGUGAGUGUUACAUUUGUCCCUGUACUGCCAUUUUCUGUGACUCUGAGAGACAGACACGGUAGAGAGAAUGUGACUCUGAGUUUAGAGUUUAUUCCUUGACCGUAAGUACUUCUUUAACACAUGUCCAUAAAUGCCACUGGGAACAUUUUGUCAUAAAAUUAUCCCAGAUGGAUUUGCUCAAUACCUUUUAUGUGCCAGGUUUGGAGGUGACGAGCAUUGCUCAUAAAACCGCACUUAACCCUCCAGAUGGCUCUCGAGUUCAGCUUCAUGUCCCUUCAUGGGUAAGGGCACUGAGGCUGAGGGAGGUAAGAUUUGGCGUCUGUCGUGCCUCUCCCUGCUCAGGACGGUCCUGUAACCAACCAGACUGCAGUCAGGUCCCUCACAUGCCGUUGUUGUCAAAAUUAGUUGGUUUUCUCUGAAUCCAGUUUUGGGCAGUGGGUGGAAGGGGGAUGGGCCUGGAAGGUCCAGGGUUCCCUUUCGUAGCUUGUAAGUCUGCCCUGUGUUUACAGGGAGGGAUCAAUGCUGCUCUGGGGAACAUGGAGGAGGACAACUGGAGGUGGCACUUCUACGACACUGUGAAAGGCUCCGACUGGCUGGGGGACCAGGAUGCCAUCCACUACAUGACAGAGCAGGCCCCUGCUUCCGUGGUAGAGGUACUGUCCUUGCAUGGUCUGUUUCUGGUAGAAAAGAGAGGUCGAGGCAAAUGUGGUCAGCCCAAGGAAUGGUAACCAGUUGAUGUAACAAGGGAAAUCUUUCCUAUCAUUAACCAUUCAGUUCAUUUAAUAACAAAGUUUUUCUCUUUUCCUGAAGUGUUGAAAUUUUCAUAGAACGUAUUGGUUUGGGUUUACAGGUUUAUGUUGAAAUUGUUUAGUGUAAAUUAGCGAUGAAUAUCCCGAUUCCUUCAAGGUCCUGGGUGUUUGUUUUCACAUUUCACAGCUGGAGAAUUAUGGCAUGCCAUUCAGCAGAACUGAAGAUGGGAGGAUCUACCAGCGCGCUUUUGGUGGACAGAGCCUCAAGUUUGGGAAAGGCGGGCAGGCCCAUCGGUGCUGCUGUGUGGCUGACCGCACUGGCCACUCGCUGCUGCACACGUUGUAUGGAAGGGUGAGGCCACCCUGGGUGCAUGGGGUGACAGGACA
This 11292-nucleotide long non-coding RNA is filed under the name Lynx pardinus (Iberian lynx). The record is from RNAcentral. Lineage: Eukaryota; Metazoa; Chordata; Mammalia; Carnivora; Felidae.